UUUUUUUUUUUUAGUAAUUUAAUGUGUGUCAAAAUUGAGGUUUGAGUUUUUAAGAAGGUAUUAAACACUCCAGGUCAGAGUCAUGCUGAAGUUUAGCAAUAUUUUCUUAUCUUGUGUUGGUAUGAAUUCAGUGUAUUUGAAAGCUGUCCUUUCAUUGAUUUUGGAGGAUUUUUAAAUGGGUUGGAGAUCCAAUACUGACACUUAAUACAGGGUUUUACAGAAGAAUUAUUAUUUUUCUUGAUUUAUUAUGCUUUAAAUUGUAUUCAUAUUACUAUGUAGCUAUACUUCCAUGUAGCUAUUUGCCGUACAGAAUUGUAGGAGAUUUUUAAUGUUUGAUGUUUGAAUAGUAGAAUCCUCAAAUAGUAAGUAUGUUUUUUUGUAGCAGACUGACAUCCUCCAGAUGGGGUUGACUUAGGUCUAGCCACAGAAAUGUUUUUUGUGGUGGCAUAUUUGUCGCAUGUUAAAAGUUAACUCAGA
This 477-nucleotide long non-coding RNA is filed under the name Mytilus galloprovincialis (Mediterranean mussel). The record is from RNAcentral. Lineage: Eukaryota; Metazoa; Mollusca; Bivalvia; Mytilida; Mytilidae.